UACGGAGGGUGCAAGCGUUAAUCGGAAUUACUGGGCGUAAAGCGUGCGCAGGCGGCUUUGCAAGACAGAUGUGAAAUCCCCGGGCUUAACCUGGGAACUGCAUUUGUGACUGCAUGGCUGGAGUGCGGCAGAGGGGGAUGGAAUUCCGCGUGUAGCAGUGAAAUGCGUAGAUAUGCGGAGGAACACCAAUGGCGAAGGCAAUCCCCUGGGCCUGCACUGACGCUCAUGCACGAAAGCGUGGGGAGCAAACAGG
This 253-nucleotide ribosomal RNA is filed under the name uncultured bacterium. Its description in RNAcentral is "partial 16S ribosomal RNA". It matches the Rfam family "Bacterial small subunit ribosomal RNA", at positions 524 to 776 of the family's 1533-position model. The record is from RNAcentral.